UGGUGGAGUGAUUUGUCUGGUUAAUUCCGUUAACGAACGAGACCUCGACCUACUAAAUAGUAGUUGAAAUCUCUGGAUUUCCAAUUAACUUCUUAGAGGGACUAUCGGUGGUGUACCCGAUGGAAGUUCGAGGCAAUAACA
RNAcentral lists this ribosomal RNA (141 nucleotides) under uncultured eukaryote. RNAcentral's name for it is "partial 18S ribosomal RNA". It matches the Rfam family "Eukaryotic small subunit ribosomal RNA", at positions 1299 to 1458 of the family's 1831-position model. The record is from RNAcentral.